CCUACGGGAGGCAGCAGUGGGGAAUAUUGGGCAAUGGAGGCAACUCUGACCCAGCAAUGCCGCGUGAGUGAUGAAGGUAAUUUUAUUGUAAAGCUCUUUUCUUUGGUACGAAUAAAUGACGGUACCAAAGGAAUAAGCCCCGGCUAACUACGUGCCAGCAGCCGCGGUAAUACGUAGGGGGCAAGCGUUGUUCGGAAUGACUGGGCGUAAAGGGUGUGUAGGUGGUUUGAUAAGUUAGAUGUGUAAUACCCAGGGCUUAACUCGGGUGCUGCAUCUAAAACUGUUAGACUUGAGUACUGGAGAGGAUAGUGGAAUUCCAGGUGUAGGAGUGAAAUCCGUAGAUAUCUGGAGGAACAUCAGUGGCGAAGGCGACUAUCUGGAACAUAACUGACGCUGAGGAGCGAAAGCGUGGGUAGCAAACAGGAUUAGAUACCCCGGUAGUC
RNAcentral lists this ribosomal RNA (443 nucleotides) under uncultured bacterium. RNAcentral's name for it is "partial 16S ribosomal RNA". It matches the Rfam family "Bacterial small subunit ribosomal RNA", at positions 338 to 795 of the family's 1533-position model. The record is from RNAcentral.